UACGUAGGGGGCAAGCGUUGUCCGGAAUUAUUGGGCGUAAAGAGCGCGUAGGCGGUCCGAUAAGUCGGCUGUGAAAGUCAGGGGCUCAACCCUUGAAAGCCGGCCGAUACUGUCGGACUAGAGUCCGGAAGAGGCAAGUGGAAUUCCCGGUGUAGCGGUGAAAUGCGCAGAUAUCGGGAGGAACACCAAUGGCGAAGGCAGCUUGCUGGGACGGUACUGACGCUGAGGCGCGAAAGCGUGAGGAGCAAACAGG
This 253-nucleotide ribosomal RNA is filed under the name uncultured bacterium. RNAcentral's name for it is "partial 16S ribosomal RNA". It matches the Rfam family "Bacterial small subunit ribosomal RNA", at positions 524 to 776 of the family's 1533-position model. The record is from RNAcentral.